Passer domesticus (house sparrow) is the source of this 539-nucleotide long non-coding RNA. RefSeq lists it as uncharacterized. NCBI's taxonomy places the organism in Eukaryota, Metazoa, Chordata, Aves, Passeriformes, Passeridae. The transcript is spliced from 3 exons. The record is from RefSeq and is a predicted model, not a curated record.
CAUGUGCUCCUGCACACAGCCCUGCACCCUCCCCAGACCUCUCCUCAGGUCACACCACUGAGGACUGGAAUAGCAGAAUGCAAGCAAUCAAGAGGGCACAGCACCUCCUGCUUAAGGGCUGGAAGGGAAAGGAAAAUCUAGAUUAGAAAAGCAUCAAGCAGUCAAGCAGAACUCUGUGCGCACUGCCAAAGCUCCCAGGGACAACAUGACUGGAUACUGCUGGUAAUAAGGGGACAGUCUUGGAAUUCUUUUAUUUCUCUCACAGCCACAAAUCCUCUGGUCUGUGCGUGGUCACCAGCCAAUGAUCUAAAGAAAUGGAAGCAAGACCUUUGGAAAAAAAAUUUCCUGCCACAUCUCAGCAUGCUGCAAGGGCUACUCAGACCAGGAGAAAAAAAGAAGUUGAGCAUGCAGAAAAAGUUCAUACAUUCCUGCCUCUGUGUUCACUCUGGGACUGAGCUUGCAGAAAUUUGUGCGAUAUUUCUUUUGACAGGGAAGCUGUAAUUUCAUACAAGUCUCCUAGACUUGAAACAAACUAAUAA